Molecule: unclassified non-coding RNA, 387 nt
Filed under: soil metagenome
Description: partial contains 5.8S ribosomal RNA, internal transcribed spacer 2, and large subunit ribosomal RNA
Rfam family: 5.8S ribosomal RNA (bases 1-120)
Source: RNAcentral
GAUGAAGAACGUAGCGAAAUGCGAUAAGUAAUGUGAAUUGCAGAAUUCAGUGGAUCAUCGAAUCUUUGAACGCACCUUGCACCCUUUGGUAUUCCGAAGGGUAUGCUCGUUUGAGUGUCAUUGUACUCUCACACUUCUAAUUCCUUUCGGGAUUGGGAGCGGUGGACUUGGGUGUUGCUGCUUUAGUUGUGGCUCACCUCAAAUAAGUUAGUGCAACUCUUGGUUGGACAUAGUACGGCGUGAUAAGUGUCUUCGCCGGCGCCUCUGUAAGGAGGGUGGCCGAUCGGGAGCUCUGUGCUUCAAACCGUCUUCGGACAAUCUUUGACAACUUGACCUCAAAUCGAGUAGGACUACCCGCUGAACUUAAGCAUAUCAAUAAGCGGAGGA